Molecule: ribosomal RNA, 435 nt
Filed under: uncultured bacterium
Lineage: Bacteria
Description: partial 16S ribosomal RNA
Rfam family: Bacterial small subunit ribosomal RNA
Source: RNAcentral
AGCGAACGCUGGCGGCAGGCUUAACACAUGCAAGUCGAACGGGCUUCUUCGGAAGUCAGUGGCAGACGGGUGAGUAACACGUGGGAACGUGCCCUUCGGUUCGGAAUAACUCAGGGAAACUUGAGCUAAUACCGGAUACGCCCUUUUGGGGAAAGGUUUACUGCCGAAGGAUCGGCCCGCGUCUGAUUAGCUUGUUGGUGGGGUAACGGCCUACCAAGGCGACGAUCAGUAGCUGGUCUGAGAGGAUGAUCAGCCACACUGGGACUGAGACACGGCCCAGACUCCUACGGGAGGCAGCAGUGGGGAAUAUUGGACAAUGGGCGCAAGCCUGAUCCAGCCAUGCCGCGUGAAUGAUGAAGGCCUUAGGGUUGUAAAGCUCUUUUGUCCGGGACGAUAAUGACGGUACCGGAAGAAUAAGCCCCGGCUAACUUCGUG